This 74-nucleotide transfer RNA is filed under the name Dipodomys ordii (Ord's kangaroo rat). It matches the Rfam family "tRNA". Rfam says of the family: Transfer RNA (tRNA) molecules are approximately 80 nucleotides in length. Their secondary structure includes four short double-helical elements and three loops (D, anti-codon, and T loops). Lineage: Eukaryota; Metazoa; Chordata; Mammalia; Rodentia; Heteromyidae. The record is from Rfam by way of RNAcentral.
GGAGGUAUGGUUCAAGUGCUAAGAGUACCUGCUUAGCAAACAUGAGGGCCUGAGUUCAAAUCCCAGUACUGUCA